Molecule: long non-coding RNA, 910 nt
Filed under: Mus pahari (shrew mouse)
Lineage: Eukaryota; Metazoa; Chordata; Mammalia; Rodentia; Muridae
Description: predicted gene, 37469 (MGP_PahariEiJ_G0003683.1)
Source: RNAcentral
GCCAGCCCACUGACCAGAGCAUGGGGGCACACGGGCUUUUCCAUCAGGGGUUGCUGCCUUCAGCCUUCAUUGCAGCAAGAAGGAUGCAAGCUAGACACAUGGCCUAUCUGUGACAGUCCACUAGCUGGCGGUUCCUUCUGUGCCUAGAACCAGGGGUGAGUUUUAUGCAGGCUUCACCGUGACUCUUACCCUACAACUGGGGAAGCUAAGUCUCUGAGAGGCUCUUAAAGACCACUCAGUUCUACCCUUGGGGGUCUUUCUUGCUGGUCUUCAGAGGCUGUUUGAGGCUGAGAGGUGGUACUACUGAUACUGAAAGGUCAGGCAGGACACACACUGGCCAGCAUCCUUAGUGCCUCGCUUUUCCUUGACUUACUCUGAUGGCCCUGACUUUCAAGGCAACUCUCCGAAAUUUACAAGUGCCACACGUCAUUCUCCCCCCCCGCCCCCCCCCCGCUGUAAGUUGCCCCAGGCCCCUCACCCUCCAACAUCGUUCGGAUGCAUAUAUUCCUGUUCUGCUAUGACGCUUCGAACCUGGUCACUGCCACCUACAAACCACACAUCCCCAUAAUAAAGAUCCCAAGCAGAGAAAAGGGACCGUUUUAUUUCUUAGAUUUAGAGUGAUCUUGGGCAGCGAUUUUUCCCUUUCUGUUUAUUUCCAUUAAAGUUGUGGUUUGCACAGUAUUUUUACAUUUUUCUGUGAUUGUGUUUUUUUUUUUCUUCCUAUUUUCAAGUAAAAUGAACUCAUUAUAAAAGUGCAGAAAGGUAAGGAAAACUAUCAAAAUCUCUCAUAACGCCAUGUUCAAACACAGUCACUUAUGAGUACAAUAACAGCUUGCCUUCCAACAAGUCUGCUGUUUAUCACUUACAAUAACCCUGAAUCAAAACAUUUUUUCCUGGAAAAAAAACAAGC